Molecule: ribosomal RNA, 1022 nt
Filed under: Phoma herbarum
Lineage: Eukaryota; Fungi; Ascomycota; Dothideomycetes; Pleosporales; Didymellaceae
Also listed under: 8 other names
Description: SSU rRNA
Rfam family: Eukaryotic small subunit ribosomal RNA
Source: RNAcentral
UAUACCGUGAAACUGCGAAUGGCUCAUUAAAUCAGUUAUCGUUUAUUUGAUAGUACCUUACUACUUGGAUAACCGUGGUAAUUCUAGAGCUAAUACAUGCUGAAAACCCCAACUUCGGGAGGGGUGUAUUUAUUAGAUAAAAAACCAACGCCCUUCGGGGCUUCUUGGUGAUUCAUGAUAACUUCACGGAUCGCAUGGCCUUGCGCCGGCGACGGUUCAUUCAAAUUUCUGCCCUAUCAACUUUCGAUGGUAAGGUAUUGGCUUACCAUGGUUUCAACGGGUAACGGGGAAUUAGGGUUCGAUUCCGGAGAGGGAGCCUGAGAAACGGCUACCACAUCCAAGGAAGGCAGCAGGCGCGCAAAUUACCCAAUCCCGACACGGGGAGGUAGUGACAAUAAAUACUGAUACAGGGCUCUUUUGGGUCUUGUAAUUGGAAUGAGUACAAUUUAAACCUCUUAACGAGGAACAAUUGGAGGGCAAGUCUGGUGCCAGCAGCCGCGGUAAUUCCAGCUCCAAUAGCGUAUAUUAAAGUUGUUGCAGUUAAAAAGCUCGUAGUUGAAACUUGGGCCUGGCUGGCAGGUCCGCCUCACCGCGUGUACUUGUCCGGCCGGGCCUUUCCUUCUGGAGAACCUCAUGCCCUUCACUGGGUGUGUUGGGGAACCAGGACUUUUACUUUGAAAAAAUUAGAGUGUUCAAAGCAGGCCUUUGCUCGAAUACGUUAGCAUGGAAUAAUAGAAUAGGACGUGCGGUCCUAUUUUGUUGGUUUCUAGGACCGCCGUAAUGAUUAAUAGGGACAGUCGGGGGCAUCAGUAUUCAAUUGUCAGAGGUGAAAUUCUUGGAUUUAUUGAAGACUAACUACUGCGAAAGCAUUUGCCAAGGAUGUUUUCAUUAAUCAGUGAACGAAAGUUAGGGGAUCGAAGACGAUCAGAUACCGUCGUAGUCUUAACCGUAAACUAUGCCGACUAGGGAUCGGGCGAUGUUCUUUUUCUGACUCGCUCGGCACCUUACGAGAAAUCAAAGUU